CCCGUACACAAAAAUGCACAUGCUGUGAGCUCGAUGAGUAGGGCGGGACACGUGGUAUCCUGUCUGAAUAUGGGGGGACCAUCCUCCAAGGCUAAAUACUCCUGACUGACCGAUAGUGAACCAGUACCGUGAGGGAAAGGCGAAAAGAACCCCGGCGAGGGGAGUGAAAAAGAACCUGAAACCGUGUACGUACAAGCAGUGGGAGCACGCUUAGGCGUGUGACUGCGUACCUUUUGUAUAAUGGGUCAGCGACUUAUAUUCUGUAGCAAGGUUAACCGAAUAGGGGAGCCGAAGGGAAACCGAGUCUUAACUGGGCGUUAAGUUGCAGGGUAUAGACCCGAAACCCGGUGAUCUAGCCAUGGGCAGGUUGAAGGUUGGGUAACACUAACUGGAGGACCGAACCGACUAAUGUUGAAAAAUUAGCGGAUGACUUGUGGCUGGGGGUGAAAGGCCAAUCAAACCGGGAGAUAGCUGGUUCUCCCCGAAAGCUAUUUAGGUAGCGCCUCGUGAAUUCAUCUCCGGGGGUAGAGCACUGUUUCGGCAAGGGGGUCAUCCCGACUUACCAACCCGAUGCAAACUGCGAAUACCGGAGAAUGUUAUCACGGGAGACACACGGCGGGUGCUAACGUCCGUCGUGAAGAGGGAAACAACCCAGACCGCCAGCUAAGGUCCCAAAGUCAUGGUUAAGUGGGAAACGAUGUGGGAAGGCCCAGACAGCCAGGAUGUUGGCUUAGAAGCAGCCAUCAUUUAAAGAAAGCGUAAUAGCUCACUGGUCGAGUCGGCCUGCGCGGAAGAUGUAACGGGGCUAAACCAUGCACCGAAGCUGCGGCAGCGACGCUGAUGCGUUGUUGGGUAGGGGAGCGUUCUGUAAGCCUGCGAAGGUGUGCUGUGAGGCAUGCUGGAGGUAUCAGAAGUGCGAAUGCUGACAUAAGUAACGAUAAAGCGGGUGAAAAGCCCGCUCGCCGGAAGACCAAGGGUUCCUGUCCAACGUUAAUCGGGGCAGGGUGAGUCGACCCCUAAGGCGAGGCCGAAAGGCGUAGUCGAUGGGAAACAGGUUAAUAUUCCUGUACUUGGUGUUACUGCGAAGGGGGGACGGAGAAGGCUAUGUUGGCCGGGCGACGGUUGUCCCGGUUUAAGCGUGUAGGCUGGUUUUCCAGGCAAAUCCGGAAAAUCAAGGCUGAGGCGUGAUGACGAGGCACUACGGUGCUGAAGCAACAAAUGCCCUGCUUCCAGGAAAAGCCUCUAAGCAUCAGGUAACAUCAAAUCGUACCCCAAACCGACACAGGUGGUCAGGUAGAGAAUACCAAGGCGCUUGAGAGAACUCGGGUGAAGGAACUAGGCAAAAUGGUGCCGUAACUUCGGGAGAA
RNAcentral lists this ribosomal RNA (1367 nucleotides) under Escherichia coli. RNAcentral describes it as "partial 23S ribosomal RNA". It matches the Rfam family "Bacterial large subunit ribosomal RNA", at positions 372 to 1744 of the family's 2925-position model. Lineage: Bacteria; Pseudomonadati; Pseudomonadota; Gammaproteobacteria; Enterobacterales; Enterobacteriaceae. The record is from RNAcentral.